AGGUUUCAGAAUGUAUGUUUUACCGUGAACAUGGCUUCGAUUAAUGCGAUUUUUGUUGCCCCUUAUUUUGGAAUGCGUCUACCACAUAAAGCAAGGGAAACCUGUAAAUCGGAUUCAUGGUUUAAUGUCUUGGUUCCAUUGACACAACCCUGUAACAUGGAUUGUCACUCUCCCUAGAUCACAAACAUGGCCAUGAGGUUGUGCUUAAGAAGCAACUUCAUGAUGGUGCUAAAGCACAGGCCGUGGAGGAUCUGGCAAAGGUGAACGAGGAAGCGUUUUCCUUGAAGAUGAAGGUCAUCGCAAACCAAACCGGCAUGGACAUGGCAGCUGAACUGAGAUGCCAACAGUUGGAGUUGCAGAGUACCUUGAAGAAUUUUGUGAUAGGGACCUUAGCAGUCGUGGGCACGGUCGUGGUCGUUGGAUUGGCUGUGGCCGCAGCACCGUCAAUACCCUUGGCUGCAUCUCUGUUUUUGAAGGGGAGGUACGGAUUUAAGAUGUAAAUAAAGUGUUUUGCUUUAAUGAGUUUAUUUAGUACAACUGAAUGGUGUGUUUUAUCUGGUUUUUAAUAGGUGCUACUUUUAGUGUAACUAGAAUGUUUAGCUUUAUAACUUGCGACUGCCACAAUAAGAGAAUAUGCUCUAUAG
This is a long non-coding RNA of Lethenteron reissneri (Far Eastern brook lamprey), 644 nucleotides long. RefSeq lists it as uncharacterized. The record is from RefSeq and is a predicted model, not a curated record. Lineage: Eukaryota; Metazoa; Chordata; Hyperoartia; Petromyzontiformes; Petromyzontidae.